Long non-coding RNA from Varroa destructor (honeybee mite), 1453 nucleotides. Lineage: Eukaryota; Metazoa; Arthropoda; Arachnida; Mesostigmata; Varroidae. The record is from RefSeq and is a predicted model, not a curated record.
GUCGUUUAUAAAAACUAUUGAAGAAGAUAGAAAAACGCUUAUACAUCCAAAGAUAUAGGAACGGGUCGAGGAUAACGUAAGAAGAUCAGAGCAGAUAUGCCGUAUGGAAAAAGCAGACUGCUCUAAUCGUAACGGUAACCAUAAAUCUAGAUAUUCGUUUGAUAGCGGUCUAGCGGCCGCAUUAGUUACCUCUAUGACUAUGAAUGUUUUAUUAAUGAUUUAUAUCUCGUGCGUAUUUGAAACGAAACGUGGAUAAGAUUUUACUAUGUCGAGGCCAUUUCAACCCUUUUCUGGAAAAUAAAAUGAUGAGCCCAGGUAUUCCCUGGCUGUAUUUCCCUUUCCCUGCUUGAUCUCCUACAGAAGGACAGAGUAAUUUAUUAAGACGAGACAAAUAUUUAAGCGUAAUCAUACGAUACUCUCGUACCAGUCAAAGACGCGACUGAAUUGACGCAAUCUGCCGUUGAUAUUUGAGCGUUCGCUAAAUCUGGACGGAGUUUUGUGGAGAUGUCGCUAGUACUACUUAAGGCGAUAAACGUGAAAGCAGUUGUUUUCGCUAUGAGCGUUAUGCAGUUUGUUUUUGUGUCCCUUUUUAUAUGGGUGCACGCCGUCAGCGCACAAGAGGUUGUGGUACCCGAAGCUUAUACGACCACCUACGGCAGCAUUGGUUCGCAUAUAUACGGAUAUGCUUCAACCCAUGCUCGUAUCCUGGCCGGCCCUUUUGGCUUUCCGUAUACAACGCAGCCCCGGUUCCAUAGCGGUGUUAAUCGGCCGCCACAGCCGUAUACGGUCCUGCUUUAAUAGGACCUUAAAAAGAGACUUGAAUUGACUGAAGUAUGUGCUAUUAUUAAGCGACAGACCAUUAGUUCAUGGAAGCAGCAUAACGAAUUCAUGUAUAUAGACAAAAUUUGUCUACCUGUAAAUUAAACCUUUUCUGUAAACAUGUUUGUUCUUUUCCAAGUUCGGAUCUUUUGACGUGUAUUUGAUUACGUAUGCUGUCGUUUUAUAUAUGUAUUUAAAGAAAACUGAUGUUCUUUUGAAAUUUUUCUUCUAUAUAAAUAUGGCGCUUCAAUUUUAAACAUUAUGUUGUUUACAUUAUAUCUUCUAAGGAAAGUUUACAAGAUAUUUCUCAGUCUAUUGAGCGCACUAAAUUACUUUAGCAUCAUUUUUAUUAUAUUAUGAGGUAUUAGCUCUGAAUUAAUCCAGAGCUAGCAAAAAAAAUGUUAGCGCAACGUGAUGUAGGGUCUUAUGUGAUGCCGGCGUGAGUGUUCGGACGAUAGCGUUUUGUUUCGGAUCUUCAUUGACGGACUAUUUGUCCUUCAAUACACAUAGUGCAGACCUGAAAUGUAACCAGAAUUUAGACCGAAUAUAAAGGAACUUCAUUGAAAUCUAGUGAUUAAUCGUAUUCUUCGGAAUACUAAUAAAAAACGUCACGUUCCGAUCUGAUUAUGUCGUA